UUUCUUUAAAUUGUUAAUAUACUGAAGCAUAUAAUCUUUAUUGUUGUUUUUAAAUUUCUAACUACAUUCUACAUUUGUAUUAAUGUAUUUCAAACUCUAUUUCAUGGUAAAUGGACAUCUUUGUAUUUUUAUCAAUUAAUUUAGUAAAAUUUCAUAUGCUCCCUAAAUUAGGGGAUAAACUUCAAUAAAAUUGCUAUUCUAGAGAAACGGAGAUAAAAAGGUUCCAAACCUCUCAUACCAUCAUUAUAUGCUAGUUCAUGAUACAUUUAUGCAUUAAAAAAUAUUUUUAUAUUUUUUGUAUUUUUUCUCAAAAUCUAUGAGUUAAACCCCUACAAAAUAUUCAGCUUUUCAGUAAAUUGUUAAUAUACUGAAGCCUAUAAUAUUUAGUGUUUUUUUUUUAAUUUCUAACUACAUUCUACAUUUGUAUUAAUGUAUUCCAAACUCUAUUUCAUGGUAAAUGUGCAUCUUUGUAUUUUUAUCAAUUAACUUAGUAAAACUUCAUAUGCUCCCUAAAUUAGGAGAUAAACUACAAUAAAUUUGUUAUUCUAGUGAAACGGAGAUAAAUAAAAAGGUUCCAAACUUCUCAUACUAUUAUCAUAUGUUAGUUCAUGAUACAAUAAUGCAUUAAAAUUUUUAUAUAUUUUUUAAUUUUUUCUCAAAUCUAUUCGUUAACCCCUACAAAAUAUUCAGUUUUUCUGUAAAUUGUUAAUAUAUUGAAGCCAAUAAUCUUUAAUGUUGUUUUAGAAUUUCUAACUACAUUCUACAUUUGUAUUAUUGUAUUCUAAACUCUCUUUCAUAGUACAUGGACAUCGUUCUAUUUUUUAUCAUUUAAUUUAAUAAAACUUCAUAUGCUCCCUAAAUUAGGAGAUAAACUACAAUAAAAUCUCUAUUAUAUAGAAACGAAGAUUAAGAAAAAAAGGUUCUAAACCUCUCAUACCAUCAUCAUAUACUAGUUCAUGAUACAAUUACGCAUUAAAAAAAUAUUGUUAUAUUUUCUGAAAUUUUCUCAAUAUCUAUGUGUUAACCCCUACAAAAUAUUCAGUUUUUCUGUAAAUUGUUAAUAUACUGAAAGCCUAUAAUCUUUAGUGUUGUUUUAAAAUUUCUAACUACAUUCUACAUUUGUAUCAAUGUAUUUCAAACUCUAUUUCAUGGUAUAUGGGUAUUUUUGUAUUUUUAUCAAAUAAUUUAGUAAAACUUCAUAUGCUUCCUAAAUUAGAAAAUAAACUACAAUAAAAUUGCUAUUCUAGAGAAACGGAGAUAAGAAAAGGUUUUAAAUCUCUUAUACCAUCAUCAUAUGCUAGUUCAUGAUAUAAUUAUGCAUUAAAAAUAUGUAUAUUUUUUAUUUUAUUUUCAAAAUCUAUGGAUUAACUCCUGUAAUAGUAACGUAAAGUUCAAUUUCCACCGAUUUCUCUAACAACAACAAGAUUAAAGAAACUCUUGCAUAAGAAAACACUUUACUUUCACAUCAUACUACUUUGAACUCGGGUGUUUUUGUAAAGCCUUUGGUAUGGGCUGCGUUUGAAACACCGAGGCCCACAUCAUUCAUUCCCAAAAUUACCAAAACCCUUUUCUUAUAAUUCAAGCUCUGCUUUAACAUUCAUUCACCAUAACCUAGUAAGCCGCCGCCAUCGCGACCUCUCCCUCUCUUUUUAAUAGGGAGCAACUCUUUUGUGUAGCUCUGUCUCUCCUAUCUCCUUACAACUGCUCUUUCGUCCUCUGUGUGUUUUCUUUCGUUUCUUUUUUGCAAUAAUUCCUGAUGAGGAUAACAUAUCUAAAGCUAUGGAUCUGAUAUUUCAGAUUCAUAUGAUGCUAUAUUGUCAUAGUUACUCUGAUGGGAAAUUAUUUGUGUUCUUUUUUCUUGUGAAACAUUGAAUCUCUGACAUAGUUAGGUUGACAUUCAAAAUAUAGGGCAACCUUUUGCCGAGGAGAUUAUGAGAUUGAAUCUGUUGAUCUACCUCUUUUUCCCUGUUGCCAAUAUAAUUUCAUAUGCAUUAUUACAUAAGCUUGCUUUAUAGUUUAAGACCAAUUCCUAUAAGCUUUUAUGUUUUUGCUACAGAACAAAAUAAUUUUUUUAGUAUUGUUUUGAAUACAAGAGGCAACUUUUUGCCGAGUGAAUCGAAUAUCGAUCUCUCUCUUUUUCCCAGUUGCCUAAAUCAUGUUAUGGCCGCCUGAGAGGAAUUCGCUGAUUGGUUAUGUAAUUUCAAAGUAUCCAAUCUUUUCCUCUUUGCUGCUACAUUUUGUUUUGCUCCAAUUACUCAAUCUACUAUUCAUUGUGAAUUCAUAAAUUUUUCCUAUGAUACAAGAUAAAACGUUUCCUGAUAACUUUACGAUUUUGAGAUUGAGCACGUGACGAGACCACUACUUUGGGUUCAUAGGCAUAGUUCAUCUAGUUAAGAACAUGAUCAAGAUAUGUUCUCAUUUGGACUGAAUAAUUCCCAAUGGCCAAAAUAAUUAGGAGAAUUAAUUAAAAGUACCGGGGGAUUUCAACCUAACAUUGCUGGACCAGCUGAUCGCGGAGCCGGAGCUGAAGAACAUCGGGUGCUGCAACGAGCUAGGCUGCGGAUGGAUACGCUCGAUCUCGCGGGGUGGGGGACUGAGCGUGUUGAACGCGAUCGCGGGAGCCUAGAGCGAGAAUCUGCCGGUUAUAUGUAUAGAACAACUUGGAAGAUGCUCAUGAACAGAUCGACAAGGCCAUCUCAACAGCUCUUAUAGAGAGCAAGCCUGUUUAUAUCAGCAUCAGCUGCAACUUAGCUGCUACUCCUCAUCCUACUUUCAUCCGUGACCCUGUCCCCUUUUCUCCAACGUUGGAGUUUCUCAACAAGGCCGUUGGAGACCAGUGUUGGCUUUCAUCGGAGAUGGGAGUUUCCAAGUGACGGCUCAGGACGUAUCCACCAUGCUGCGCAACGGCCAGAAAACAAUCAUAUUCCUGAUUAACAACGGUGGCUACACCAUUGAAGUGGAGAUUCAUGACGGUCCAUACAACGUGAUCAAGAACUGGAACUACACUGGUCUCGUCGAUGCCAUUCAUAACGGUGAAGGCAAAUGCUGGACCGCAAAGGUGAGAUUCGAGGAGGAGUUGGUGGAAGACAGCUACAACGGAGAAGAAAGAUAGUCUUUGUUUCAUUGAAGUGAUUCUUCACAAAGAUGAUACGAGCAAAGAGUUGCUUGAGUGGGGCUCACGCGUUGCUGCUGCUAAUGGCCGUCCUCCCAACCCUCAGUACGGAACGAAUCUUUUGAGUGAGACUCACUCACGCAUCUUAAUCUUUUCUUCAUGAGUUUGUUUGCCCAUUGUUUUUUUUUUCCGUCAAGGUUUUUUGAUAUUAUAUAAA
Long non-coding RNA from Brassica rapa (field mustard), 3329 nucleotides. RefSeq lists it as uncharacterized. Lineage: Eukaryota; Viridiplantae; Streptophyta; Magnoliopsida; Brassicales; Brassicaceae. The record is from RefSeq and is a predicted model, not a curated record.